Molecule: ribosomal RNA, 497 nt
Filed under: uncultured bacterium
Lineage: Bacteria
Description: partial 16S ribosomal RNA
Rfam family: Bacterial small subunit ribosomal RNA
Source: RNAcentral
GACGAACGCUGGCGGCGUGCCUAAUACAUGCAAGUUGAGCGCUGAAGGUUGGUACUUGUACCAACUGGAUGAGCAGCGAACGGGUGAGUAACGCGUGGGGAAUCUGCCUUUGAGCGGGGGACAACAUUUGGAAACGAAUGCUAAUACCGCAUAAAAACUUUAAACACAAGUUUUAAGUUUGAAAGAUGCAAUUGCAUCACUCAAAGAUGAUCCCGCGUUGUAUUAGCUAGUUGGUGAGGUAAAGGCUCACCAAGGCGAUGAUACAUAGCCGACCUGAGAGGGUGAUCGGCCACAUUGGGACUGAGACACGGCCCAAACUCCUACGGGAGGCAGCAGUAGGGAAUCUUCGGCGAUGGACGAAAGUCUGACAGAGCAACGCCGCGUGAGUGAAGAAGGUUUUCGGAUCGUAAAACUCUGUUGGUAGAGAAGAACGUUGGUGAGAGUGGAAAGCUCAUCAAGUGACGGUAACUACCCAGAAAGGGACGGCUAACUACGUG